This 378-nucleotide ribosomal RNA is filed under the name Triticum aestivum (bread wheat). Its description in RNAcentral is "partial small subunit ribosomal RNA". The record is from RNAcentral. Lineage: Eukaryota; Viridiplantae; Streptophyta; Magnoliopsida; Poales; Poaceae.
AUGAACAGUGAACCUGUUGAGCUAUCUAUGAUGUGGAGAAAGAAGAAUCAGUUAAAACAUAAUAAAAAUAAUUUGCAAGGAUCAACAACCAAGCUUGUCCCAGUUGCAUGCUCAGUUCAGGAGUCCAGAUGCUCGGUAGGAUUCGACGCUGUCCCCCAGGGUCUUCUCUACAGGCCUGAAGACUUUUAUUGCAGGUGCAUUACAUAUGUACCGUCCGGACAUCUCUGGAUUCUCAUACGCCAGAAGAAUAGCAUCAGCAACAUCACGAACAUCCACUAUAUCCCUGCUUUUAUUUUCUACAGUAUCAUGUUCUCCUGCAAAAAGAUAAGUGUUUUAGUAAUACAGAAACAGAAUUAUAAUCCUAAACUAGUUUGGUGA